Spinacia oleracea (spinach) is the source of this 509-nucleotide long non-coding RNA. RefSeq lists it as uncharacterized. The record is from RefSeq and is a predicted model, not a curated record. NCBI's taxonomy places the organism in Eukaryota, Viridiplantae, Streptophyta, Magnoliopsida, Caryophyllales, Amaranthaceae. The transcript has 2 exons.
UUAACCACCAAACAAAAAAAUCCCUCAUUUCUUUCUCCCCCCUCUGUUCUUCUUCCUCCUUCAACCCCAACCUCGAAAAAAAUGCAAUUCCCUCUUCAAAUUAAAUUGAACAAUGAAUCACUGCAAUCAUCUCCAUCAUAAUUCGAGUUUGGGCAAGAAGUAUCUGACAUUGACCUCCAAGUCCUCUCACUGGCGUCUGCAGAAGAUGUGCUUACUGAUUUUAUCACAAUUAUUUGGGGAAAGGAAAGGAGGGGGGGUUGAUUAUAGUUAUGGAAUGUAUUUACCCUCUGCUCUAUAAUCCUCCCUUUUUUCUCAGUAAACAAGUAUAGUUGGCUUAAUUAACUUAAUUAACGUGUUAAAGUUGUUAAUUGUUUAUUAUGCCUUAACAAUGCCUUUGUAUCCUCCUGGCAGUGGUUAAAACUUAAAAUUGUAAGAUUGGUCUUUAAUCGCACAAGUAUAGGUUCUCUUCGUACUUCGCAGUUGGGUAAUCGAUAGUUGUUUCUCAUGUA